Long non-coding RNA from Ziziphus jujuba (common jujube), 1238 nucleotides. RefSeq lists it as uncharacterized. The record is from RefSeq and is a predicted model, not a curated record. The transcript has 4 exons. NCBI's taxonomy places the organism in Eukaryota, Viridiplantae, Streptophyta, Magnoliopsida, Rosales, Rhamnaceae.
UCUUUCAACUUUCCCUUUCAACAAUUAGGGUUUCUUUCUACUUUCCCUUUUGAAAAGCUCAAUCACUGUCACCACCCAGAGGUAGAGGAAAGAUACACCAUCGUCGUCGUUGAUUGCUCUGGUCCAACCUCUCGUUCGCCGUCGUCAUCUUCAUUGCACUACUGUCAUCUUCAUCACGCCACCGUCGUCCAACCAAGACAAGUCUUCCAGGGAAGAGAUAGAGAGCAUUGUCGGAGCAAGUGAUGGACCGAGCAGAAAAUUGAAGCACAAAAUUUGUGUUCGUAGAGUUACAAAUUAUGCUAAGAAAAUUACAAACACUUACACAGAUAGAGAAAGAGAGAGAUAUAAAUAGAUACAGAAGCAUUGGUGGAUUUUUGUUCCCCAUUAAUAUAAAUGGAUUCAGAAUACCAACGAAGGUUUUGGAACUCGGAGAUAUCAAGGGAAAAGGUUAAUUGUAGAUCUAACUUCUGGAAAGCCGUGUCGGAUAUUAAGUUCAAGCUUACUCUAGAUCAAAUAAAGAAGUUCAAGGAUAACUAUUUAGGCAAAUUUUUGAAGGCCAACGAUAUACAAUUUAGUGGCCACAUUGUGAACAGCAUGCUAUGUAGGCAAUGUGUUUGCGACGAUAAGGAUUCUAUGGUAUUCAAUUUUGGAGGUCGUGGUGCUAGAUUUACACGGAGAGACUUCGCCAUAAUUACAAGUCUAUGGUUUGGUUACGAACGCAAUAGGCAGGUUAACAUCUCUUCAUGUAUUAGUGACAUGUAUUUUGGGGGAAAGCGAAAGGUCUCUAACUCGGAGAUAACCGAUGUGUUCAUGACCACAUAGUGUCAAGACAAUGAUAAAGCCAACGAUAAUAGAUUGAAGUUGGCGUUAUUAUAUUUCCUAGAGACAGUUCUUCUAGGCAAAGAAAGCAUGGCCACCGCACCCUAUAAUCACUUGGAGAUGGUGGACGAUUUAGAGUACUUCAAUAACUAUCCAUAGGGUACUUUAUCAUACACCACCACCAUUAGAUCGUUGAAGAGUACUUUUGAGCAUAGAGCGUCCAUGGCUUUAAACAAGUCAAAGAGUUAUAGUCUUUGUGGGUUUCCUUUGGCUUUCAUGAUUUGGGGUUUUGAGACAAUUCCUUCGUUAUGUCAAGCAUUUGGAAAAAAGUUGCCGAACAUGGCAUUCCCUCGAAUUCUUAAUUGGCAUAUUUCACAAGUGCCAAGAUUUGAGAAGGCCACUAAACUCUUCCAUCGUCA